Non-coding RNA from Phrynosoma platyrhinos (Desert horned lizard), 72 nucleotides. Lineage: Eukaryota; Metazoa; Chordata; Lepidosauria; Squamata; Phrynosomatidae. The record is from the annotation of a GenBank genome assembly.
GCCAGUGUGGCCUAGUGGUUUACGCAGUGGACUGUGACUCUAGAGACCAGGAUUUGAAUCCCAGCUUGGCCA